This is a long non-coding RNA of Drosophila willistoni, 553 nucleotides long. RefSeq lists it as uncharacterized. NCBI's taxonomy places the organism in Eukaryota, Metazoa, Arthropoda, Insecta, Diptera, Drosophilidae. The record is from RefSeq and is a predicted model, not a curated record. The transcript is spliced from 2 exons.
GACACACACACACACUCAAAGAAGGUGUAUCUUUUGUUUUGUUAUGACAUUUCGUUCUAUACUUUUUGAUUUGUGUUCCGUAUGGCGAAUUAAUUCAAAAGAGAAAUGAAAAACGCAUUUAACCGAAACCACUUUAAACGAAAUGGUGGAACAACACACUAAAACCAAACUAAGGAGUCAUCCUCCUCAACCCUCCAUCUCCCAUCGCAGUGAAUGAAAGGGAAAGGGUCUGUAGUCAGUAGUGUGCCAACAUAUGGACAAACAACAACAAAAACAACAAACAAACAAUCCAAAUCAAAUAUCUUCUAUUAAAAACUAUUAACCACAAACAAACAACAAAACCAAGAGCCAAAUAUUUACAUUUAAGAUUAUGUUUAAAACAAAGUGUAUGAAAGAAGCGAAACAUUUGUACUUUAAGUCAGCACACAACAAGCAAAGUACCAAGUAACUAUCAACAGCAAACAGCAGCAAACAUGCAACAUGCAACAUGCAACAUUAUGUUUAAUUCACGAACCUCUCCAUCGCAACAGACACGCAAAACAAACAACAAACA